AGAACGAACGCUGGCGGCGUGCCUAACACAUGCAAGUCCAACGUGAAAGGGGAGCAAUCCCCCGGUAGGGUGGCAAACGGGUGAGUAACACGUGAGCAACCUACCCCGAAGAUUGGGAUAACACCGGGAAACCGAUGCUAAUACCGAAUACCCCCACCGGGUCACAUGGCCUGAUGAGGAAAUGGGUUUCUGCUUCGGGAGGGGCUCGCGGCCUAUCAGCUAGUUGGUGAGGUAAAGGCCCACAAGGCGACGACGGGUAGCUGGUCUGAGAGGACGAUCAGCCACACUGGGACUGAGACACGGCCCAGACUCCUACGGGAGGCAGC
Molecule: ribosomal RNA, 326 nt
Filed under: uncultured prokaryote
Description: partial 16S ribosomal RNA
Rfam family: Bacterial small subunit ribosomal RNA
Source: RNAcentral